GCGGGCGUGGCGAAAUUGGCAGACGCGCUGGAUUUAGGUUCCAGUGGGGUAACCCAUGGGGGUUCAAGUCCCCCCGCCCGCACCA
RNAcentral lists this transfer RNA (85 nucleotides) under Alphaproteobacteria bacterium. Its description in RNAcentral is "tRNA-Leu". It matches the Rfam family "tRNA". From Rfam's summary of the family: Transfer RNA (tRNA) molecules are approximately 80 nucleotides in length. Their secondary structure includes four short double-helical elements and three loops (D, anti-codon, and T loops). Lineage: Bacteria; Pseudomonadati; Pseudomonadota; Alphaproteobacteria. The record is from RNAcentral.